AGCCGAGUAAUUUAACGGUCAAAAUGCUGGUCUUAUAAACCAGUCAGUAGUGGUUCAACUCCACUCUCGGCUA
This 73-nucleotide transfer RNA is filed under the name Caudoviricetes sp. Its description in RNAcentral is "tRNA-Ile". It matches the Rfam family "tRNA". From Rfam's summary of the family: Transfer RNA (tRNA) molecules are approximately 80 nucleotides in length. Their secondary structure includes four short double-helical elements and three loops (D, anti-codon, and T loops). Further hydrogen bonds mediate the characteristic L-shaped molecular structure. tRNAs have two regions of fundamental functional importance: the anti-codon, which is responsible for specific mRNA codon recognition, and the 3' end, to which the tRNAs corresponding amino acid is attached (by aminoacyl-tRNA synthetases). tRNAs cope with the degeneracy of the genetic code in two manners: having more than one tRNA (with a specific anti-codon) for a particular amino acid; and 'wobble' base-pairing, i.e. permitting non-standard base-pairing at the 3rd anti-codon position. The record is from RNAcentral. Lineage: Duplodnaviria; Heunggongvirae; Uroviricota; Caudoviricetes.